Molecule: ribosomal RNA, 451 nt
Filed under: uncultured bacterium
Lineage: Bacteria
Description: bacterial SSU rRNA
Rfam family: Bacterial small subunit ribosomal RNA
Source: RNAcentral
GUGGGGAAUAUUGGACAAUGGGCGCAAGCCUGAUCCAGCCACGCCGCGUGAGUGAUGAAGGCCUUCGGGUCGUAAAGCUCUGUGGGGAGGGACGAAUGACAGCCGACCUAACACGUCGGAGGUCUGACGGUACCUCCUUAGCAAGCACCGGCUAACCACGUGCCAGCAGCCGCGGUAAUACGUGGGGUGCAAACGUUGCUCGGAAUCACUGGGCUUAAAGCGUAUGUAGGCGGCCCAUCUUGUCGGAUGUGAAAUCCCUCGGCUUAACCGAGGAAGGGCAUCCGAAACGGACGGGCUUGAGUACCGGAGAGGGCGACGGAAUUCCCGGUGUAGUGGUGAAAUACGUAGAUAUCGGGAGGAACACCGGCGGCGAAGGCGGUCGCCUGGACGGAUACUGACGCUGAGAUACGAAAGCGUGGGGAGCAAACAGGAUUAGAUACCCCAGUAGUCC